GAUGAACGCUGGCGGCGUGCCUAAUACAUGCAAGUCGAGCGAACAGACGAGGAGCUUGCUCCUCUGACGUUAGCGGCGGACGGGUGAGUAACACGUGGAUAACCUACCUAUAAGACUGGGAUAACUUCGGGAAACCGGAGCUAAUACCGGAUAAUAUAUUGAACCGCAUGGUUCAAUAGUGAAAGACGGUUUUGCUGUCACUUAUAGAUGGAUCCGCGCCGCAUUAGCUAGUUGGUAAGGUAACGGCUUACCAAGGCAACGAUGCGUAGCCGACCUGAGAGGGUGAUCGGCCACACGGGAGCUGGGACACGGUCCAGGCUCCUACGGGAGGCAGCAGUAGGGAAUCUUCCGCAAUGGGCGAAAGCCUGACGGAGCAGCGCCGCGUGAGUGAUGAAGGUCUUCGGAUCGUAAAGCUCUGUUAUUAGGGAAGAACAAAUGUGUAAGUAACUAUGCACGUCUUGACGGUACCUAAUCAGAAAGCCCCGGCUAACUACGUG
RNAcentral lists this ribosomal RNA (497 nucleotides) under uncultured bacterium. RNAcentral describes it as "partial 16S ribosomal RNA". It matches the Rfam family "Bacterial small subunit ribosomal RNA", at positions 28 to 507 of the family's 1533-position model. The record is from RNAcentral.